GGAGGAAAGCAGGGGAUCGCAAGACCUUGCGCUUUUGGAGCGGCCGAUGUCUGAUUAGCUAGUUGGUAGGGUGAAGGCUUACCAAGGCAACGAUCAGUAGUUGGUCUGAGAGGACGACCAGCCACACUGGGACUGAGACACGGCCCAGACUCCUACGGGAGGCAGCAGUGGGGAAUUUUGGACAAUGGGCGAAAGCCUGAUCCAGCCAUGCCGCGUGAGUGAAGAAGGCCUUCGGGUUGUAAAGCUCUUUCAGUCGAGAAGAAAAAAUUGCGACUAAUAAUCGCAAUUCAUGACGGUAUCGACAGAAGAAGCACCGGCUAACUACGUGCCAGCAGCCGCGGUAAUACGUAGGGUGCAAGCGUUAAUCGGAAUUACUGGGCGUAAAGGGUGCGCAGGCGGCCUUGUAAGUCAGAUGUGAAAUCCCCGGGCUUAACCUGGGAAUUGCGUUUGAAACUACAAAGCUAGA
Molecule: ribosomal RNA, 466 nt
Filed under: uncultured ammonia-oxidizing beta proteobacterium
Lineage: Bacteria; Pseudomonadati; Pseudomonadota; Betaproteobacteria
Description: bacterial SSU rRNA
Rfam family: Bacterial small subunit ribosomal RNA
Source: RNAcentral